GGGGCAGCGGGGAGGAAGCUUGCUUUCUCCGCCGGCGACCGGCGCACGGGUGAGUAACACGUAUGCAACCUGCCCCUGUCAGGGGGACAACCCGCCGAAAGGCGGGCUAAACCCGCGUACAUGCCACCGGGGCAUCCCGGAGGCAGGAAAGGCUUCGGCCGGACAGGGAUGGGCAUGCGGCGCAUUAGGCAGUAGGCGGGGUAACGGCCCACCUAACCGACGAUGCGUAGGGGUUCUGAGAGGAAGGUCCCCCACACUGGUACUGAGACACGGACCAGACUCCUACGGGAGGCAGCAGUGAGGAAUAUUGGUCAAUGGCCGGGAGACUGAACCAGCCAAGCCGCGUGAGGGAGGAAGGUACAGAGUAUCGUAAACCUCUUUUGUCAGGGAACAAAGACUGGGACGCGUCCCCGGAUGAGUGUACCUGAAGAAAAAGCAUCGGCUAACUCCGUGCCGGCAGCCGCGGUAAUACGGAGGAUGCGAGCGUUAUCCGGAUUUAUUGGGUUUAAAGGGUGCGCAGGCGGUCUGUUAAGUCAGCGGUCAAAGCCCGGGGCUCAACCCCGGCCCGCCGUUGAAACUGGCAGUCUCGAGUUGGAGAGAAGUAUGCGGAAUGCGCGGUGUAGCGGUGAAAUGCAUAGAUAUCGCGCAGAACUCCGAUUGCGAAGGCAGCAUGCCGGCUCCACACUGACGCUGAGGCACGAAAGCGUGGGUAUCGAACAGGAUUAGAUACCCUGGUAGUCCACGCAGUAAACGAUGAAUGCUGGCUGUCCGGGGGGACUGACCCCUGGGUGGCGAAGCGAAAGCGAUAAGCAUUCCACCUGGGGAGUACGCCGGCAACGGUGAAACUCAAAGGAAUUGACGGGGGCCCGCACAAGCGGAGGAACAUGUGGUUUAAUUCGAUGAUACGCGAGGAACCUUACCCGGGCUCAAACGGGGAGUGCCGCAGGCAGAGACGCCUGUUUCCCACGGGACACUCCCCGAGGUGCUGCAUGGUUGUCGUCAGCUCGUGCCGUGAGGUGUCGGCUUAAGUGCCAUAACGAGCGCAACCCCCGCGUGCAGUUGCUAACAGAUAACGCUGAGGACUCUGCACGGACUGCCGGCGCAAGCCGCGAGGAAGGCGGGGAUGACGUCAAAUCAGCACGGCCCUUACGUCCGGGGCGACACACGUGUUACAAUGGGUGGUACAGCGGGAAGCCAGGCGGCGACGCCGAGCGGAACCCGAAAUCCACUCUCAGUUCGGAUCGGAGUCUGCAACCCGACUCCGUGAAGCUGGAUUCGCUAGUAAUCGCG
RNAcentral lists this ribosomal RNA (1290 nucleotides) under uncultured bacterium. RNAcentral's name for it is "bacterial SSU rRNA". It matches the Rfam family "Bacterial small subunit ribosomal RNA", at positions 66 to 1346 of the family's 1533-position model. The record is from RNAcentral.